Amphimedon queenslandica is the source of this 103-nucleotide long non-coding RNA. RefSeq lists it as uncharacterized. The record is from RefSeq and is a predicted model, not a curated record. NCBI's taxonomy places the organism in Eukaryota, Metazoa, Porifera, Demospongiae, Haplosclerida, Niphatidae. The transcript has 3 exons.
UGUAGGACUACAUGUAUUUCUGAAAAUGAAGAUGAAGCAACUCCAACUAGUCAAAGAGGAACUGUCAGUAAAGUGGGAGAUUUAGCUGUGUCUAGAGGGAGAG